Molecule: long non-coding RNA, 192 nt
Filed under: Mustela putorius furo (domestic ferret)
Lineage: Eukaryota; Metazoa; Chordata; Mammalia; Carnivora; Mustelidae
Description: lncRNA (ENSMPUG00000025854.1)
Source: RNAcentral
CUGAAGCUGAGUUAGGAAGUUGGAAGAAGCAGGGAAAAUCAUAAAAAGAGAGAGACACAGCGAGAGAGGAAACACAAGCCCAGGGAGUCUGAAAGGGAGAAGGCGGCUUCCCUCUGAGCAGGGAACCCAACGCAGGGCUCAGUCCCAGGACUCUGGGAUCAUGACCUGAGCCGAAGGCAGACGCCUAACAAC